GACGAACGCUGGCGGCGUGCCUAAUACAUGCAAGUAGAACGCUGAAGCUUGGUGCUUGCACCGAGCGGAUGAGUUGCGAACGGGUGAGUAACGCGUAGGUAACCUGCCUGGUAGCGGGGGAUAACUAUUGGAAACGAUAGCUAAUACCGCAUAAUAGUAGAUGUUGCAUGACAUUUGCUUAAAAGGUGCAAUUGCAUCACUACCAGAUGGACCUGCGUUGUAUUAGCUAGUUGGUGAGGUAACGGCUCACCAAGGCAACGAUACAUAGCCGACCUGAGAGGGUGAUCGGCCACACUGGGACUGAGACACGGCCCAGACUCCUACGGGAGGCAGCAGUAGGGAAUCUUCGGCAAUGGACGGAAGUCUGACCGAGCAACGCCGCGUGAGUGAAGAAGGUUUUCGGAUCGUAAAGCUCUGUUGUAAGAGAAGAAACGAGUGUGAGAAGUGGAAAG
Molecule: ribosomal RNA, 452 nt
Filed under: Streptococcus sp. oral taxon C08
Lineage: Bacteria; Bacillati; Bacillota; Bacilli; Lactobacillales; Streptococcaceae
Description: bacterial SSU rRNA
Rfam family: Bacterial small subunit ribosomal RNA
Source: RNAcentral